UACGUAGGGUGCGAGCGUUAAUCGGAAUUACUGGGCGUAAAGCGUGCGCAGGCGGUUUUGUAAGUCAGAUGUGAAAUCCCCGGGCUUAACCUGGGAACUGCGUUUGAAACUACAAGGCUAGAGUGUAGCAGAGGGGGGUGGAAUUCCACGUGUAGCAGUGAAAUGCGUAGAGAUGUGGAGGAACACCGAUGGCGAAGGCAGCCCCCUGGGUUAACACUGACGCUCAGGCACAAAAGCGUGGGGAGCAAACAGG
Molecule: ribosomal RNA, 253 nt
Filed under: uncultured bacterium
Lineage: Bacteria
Description: partial 16S ribosomal RNA
Rfam family: Bacterial small subunit ribosomal RNA
Source: RNAcentral